GAGUUUGAUCAUGGCUCAGGACGAACGCUGGCGGCGUGCCUAAUACAUGCAAGUCGAGCGAGGGUUUUUAAGACCUAGCGGCGGACGGGUGAGUAACACGUAGGCAACCUGCCUCUCAGACCGGGGAUAACACUAGGGAAACGUUAUGCUAAUACCGGAUAGGUUUUGGUAUUGCAUGAGUCCGAAAAGAAAAGAUGGCUUUUUGUCUAUCACUGGGAGGAUGGGCCUGCGGCGCAUUAGCUAG
Molecule: ribosomal RNA, 244 nt
Filed under: uncultured microorganism
Description: partial 16S ribosomal RNA
Rfam family: Bacterial small subunit ribosomal RNA
Source: RNAcentral